GGGUCGGUGCCCGAGUGGCCAAAGGGAGCAGACUGUAAAUCUGCCGGUUCUGCCUACGGUGGUUCGAAUCCACCCCGGCCCA
Molecule: transfer RNA, 82 nt
Filed under: Actinomycetota bacterium
Lineage: Bacteria; Bacillati; Actinomycetota
Description: tRNA-Tyr
Rfam family: tRNA
About the family: Transfer RNA (tRNA) molecules are approximately 80 nucleotides in length. Their secondary structure includes four short double-helical elements and three loops (D, anti-codon, and T loops). Further hydrogen bonds mediate the characteristic L-shaped molecular structure. tRNAs have two regions of fundamental functional importance: the anti-codon, which is responsible for specific mRNA codon recognition, and the 3' end, to which the tRNAs corresponding amino acid is attached (by aminoacyl-tRNA synthetases). tRNAs cope with the degeneracy of the genetic code in two manners: having more than one tRNA (with a specific anti-codon) for a particular amino acid; and 'wobble' base-pairing, i.e. permitting non-standard base-pairing at the 3rd anti-codon position.
Source: RNAcentral